UGGAAGCAUUGUUACUUUGCAGGACAUGGCGAGAAAAUUGAGUACACAAUGUCUAAAAAUUGAAUAAAAGUGGACGAACAUAAUUCUUUCCCGACGCGCAGUGUUAACGAAUAUAUAUUUAUAACAGGAUCAAAGUUGGAUACUACGUAUGUCUGUGACUGAGAACUGAUAGAGAUGGACCUGGAGGCACAUAUAAUACAAACCGGUCAGCCAAAGUUCUGUACACGUUCUACAGCCAGGCACCU
This is a long non-coding RNA of Dufourea novaeangliae, 245 nucleotides long. RefSeq lists it as uncharacterized. The transcript has 3 exons. Lineage: Eukaryota; Metazoa; Arthropoda; Insecta; Hymenoptera; Halictidae. The record is from RefSeq and is a predicted model, not a curated record.